Long non-coding RNA from Syngnathus acus (greater pipefish), 1439 nucleotides. RefSeq lists it as uncharacterized. The transcript is spliced from 5 exons. NCBI's taxonomy places the organism in Eukaryota, Metazoa, Chordata, Actinopteri, Syngnathiformes, Syngnathidae. The record is from RefSeq and is a predicted model, not a curated record.
GUCAAAGUCACACACAUCCUGAGUCUCCAGGCUGAAGUUUCUGAAGUGCAGCGUGAUGACGUGACCGUCCUCAACGGAGAUUUGCCAUACGCAAAACUAAGGCGAUGGAACGAGCUGUCUUCUAGAUGCUCCUGUACCUCCAGCCAGUCAAACAAACAGGGAGAGGGACCCUCAAUAUUCAAAAAGGUCACAUGGAUCUGAAUUAAUUGAGGGGGCGUAGCUUGGAUGACCCACACACACAAGGUGUUGGGGGGAUAGGAGCCCGGGUAGUUUGUCGUAGGGAUGCUGGCAGGGUGGAGUACUGGCACACUGUCUAGCUGGCUUCUGUUUGCAGGAAUUGAAGACACUCACGUGUGAGGAUGAGGGCCAGUGUCAGGCCGAGGGCCACAACCAGGAGCAGGGCAGCGACAGAGACCACUACCUUCCCCCAGCCACAACCUGCACCCCGCAAAGGAUGUCAAAUUCUUCAAUUUCAAUGUUCUCAUCGCAGAAGGUCAUCUGCAACUGUUCCAAAAUCGCAGAGAGAGGUAUGUCUUGCGCUGCCGAUCCCCCGACUGUUUUAUUAGCAGCCGAUUUAUUAUUAGCCAUUUUUUCUUUUGUUCUUCUUCGGAUAUCUUGCCAUCUUUUCUUAACCUCAUCUGGGGUUCUACUUGUUUUACCCACAGCAUUGACUUUCUUACAGAUUGUCUCCCAUAUUGCGUUUCUUCUGUUUAUAUUUAGAUUUCUUUCCUGCAACUCACCAAUGUGCUUGUUUGCUUCUUCCACUAACACUGCCAACUCCAUCACUUCAAACUUCAUUUUGCGCUUGCGGUUCUCUCCCACAUUUUCCAUGCUGAAAACGAUCAGAUGGCGCAAAUCCGAUCAAAGAGGAAAGGUAAAGAUACAAACAUCGGCGUCGCCAACUUGGAUCACAACACUAGGCUAGGCGUUCUUCUUCGUAGAUUGUUUUCAGUAUUUAUUUAUAGCGCCUCUUGUGUUCUGGCACGUCAUUGCACCACUACUACAUUGUUAUUGUCAAAAUGUGAUAUAAAAUCUCUUACUGCCAGGUUCUAAAAUAUCUUUUUAUUUGAGAAAUGAUUCACUACAACAUGCAGAUGUUCAUUGAGCACACUUGAUACACAGCUUUAUGUACAAAAGUACAUUGUUUUGCUUUCUGAGACAAUAUCACCACUCACAUAUUAACCAUUUAGAAUCAAUAUUCUUUCAUUGUUCAUAAAUGUGAUGAGCGCCAUCAGCCUUCAGUGAACUGACGAAAUAAGACUUCUGAUUGGCUGUCUUUAAAGUCAGGGACAAAGUGGAUACUGAGAAUCUCGGAGAAUCCCUCGGAGAGAGCAGGUGCCACAAAGUGCUUCCUGCUCAUCAAGAGAAAGCAAGCAAGACAGGAAGAGUCAUUAGAAAGGAUUCACAUGUAAUCUAGGAAAUAUCAAGACAAAUAAGAU